This 309-nucleotide unclassified non-coding RNA is filed under the name Hevea brasiliensis (rubber tree). Lineage: Eukaryota; Viridiplantae; Streptophyta; Magnoliopsida; Malpighiales; Euphorbiaceae. The record is from RNAcentral.
GCAAAGCUAAAGUAUAAAACUUCAUGUCAUUCACAUUAGGUCACCGAUCAAAUCAUCCAUCAAAGAUGAAAGGAUCUCCUUCUCGAUGUCAACACCCUCUUCACAGGCUUCAAAGCUGAAAUCGGUCCACUUCCCGUCUUGUGUGCUCAUGUCCUUGUCAACAACCUCAUCCACCAUCAACUCUUCCAUGCUUGUCCAGCUGGCAAUCACUCUAUACACUUCUUCUGCUAACCACUCCUUUCUUUGGACCAAUGUUGUCCACUUAGCCCAAGCUUCAACACCUCUGCCGAAACUCAGUUUGCAUCUGAG